Molecule: long non-coding RNA, 323 nt
Filed under: Bos grunniens (domestic yak)
Lineage: Eukaryota; Metazoa; Chordata; Mammalia; Artiodactyla; Bovidae
Description: lncRNA (ENSBGRG00000001161.1)
Source: RNAcentral
AAACUGCCCUCUGAGGGAGGCUCUUGGGAGACUAGACUUCAAGAGCCCCACGCAUUAGCAUGGAAGGUCAAACAGUGACAAUAGACAGGCUCAAGUAUGGGAUAGCUGUGAGGGAUGAAGGCCAAGUGUAUCUCGGAGGAAUCUGAGCCUUAGAAAAGUUAAAACAAUCUGUUCCAAAUCAGGACCCCGAAGGUCUGCCUCCGGAUAUCCAUUACACUGUGUCUCACACUGCCACCUGCUGGGCAAGACCCACCGGCCAGCUCCACCGUUCUUCCACGCCUAGGACGGACCUAGCAGGGAACCAGCAAAGUGCGGCGCACGGG